AGAGUUUGAUUCUGGCUCAGGACGAACGCUGGCGGCGUGCUUAACACAUGCAAGUCGAGCGGUAAGGCCCUUUCGGGGGUACACGAGCGGCGAACGGGUGAGUAACACGUGGGUGACCUGCCCUCAGCUCUGGGAUAAGCCUGGGAAACCGGGUCUAAUACCGGAUAUGACUCCAUGACGCAUGUUGUGGGGUGGAAAGCCUUGUGCGGCUGAGGAUGGGCCCGCGGCCUAUCAGCUUGUUGGUGGGGUGAUGGCCUACCAAGGCGACGACGGGUAGCCGGCCUGAGAGGGCGACCGGCCACACUGGGACUGAGACACGGCCCAGACUCCUACGGGAGGCAGCAGUGGGGAAUCUUGCGCAAUGGGCGAAAGCCUGACGCAGCGACGCCGCGUGAGGGAUGACGGCCUUCGGGUUGUAAACCUCUUUCAGCUCCGACGAAGCGAGAGUGACGGUAGGAGCAGAAGAAGCACCGGCCAACUACGUGCCAGCAGCCGCGGUAAU
Molecule: ribosomal RNA, 502 nt
Filed under: uncultured Actinomycetales bacterium
Lineage: Bacteria; Bacillati; Actinomycetota; Actinomycetes; Actinomycetales
Description: bacterial SSU rRNA
Rfam family: Bacterial small subunit ribosomal RNA
Source: RNAcentral